CAGUAGCCACGGUAAUACGUAGGAUGCGAGCGUUAAUCGGAAUUACUGGGCGUAAAGCGUGCGCAGGCGGUUGUGUAAGACAGGUGUGAAAUCCCCGGGCUUAACCUGGGAACUGCGCUUGUGACUGCACAGCUAGAGUAUGGCAGAGGGGGGUGGAAUUCCACGUGUAGCAGUGAAAUGCGUAGAGAUGUGGAGGAACACCGAUGGCGAAGGCAGCCCCCUGGGCCAAUACUGACGCUCAUGCACGAAAGCGUGGGGAGCAAACAGGAUUAGAUACCCGCGUAGUCCCUGUCUCUUAUAC
This 301-nucleotide ribosomal RNA is filed under the name uncultured bacterium. Its description in RNAcentral is "partial 16S ribosomal RNA". It matches the Rfam family "Bacterial small subunit ribosomal RNA", at positions 509 to 807 of the family's 1533-position model. The record is from RNAcentral.